Molecule: non-coding RNA, 80 nt
Organism: Thalictrum thalictroides
Lineage: Eukaryota; Viridiplantae; Streptophyta; Magnoliopsida; Ranunculales; Ranunculaceae
Source: the annotation of a GenBank genome assembly
AGCCAACGAUGUAUAAAAUUGUCCCUACCAUCUGAGAUUUUCUUCUCUGAUGCAUUCAACAAAUUUGUUUUCUGAGGCUU